GAUCGAACCCUGGUCUCUGUGCUUGCCUAAGCAGAUGCUUAGUCCACUGAGCCAUCUCGCCAGCCAUGUCUGAGGCAUUUUCUUUCUGCCUGCUUCUGCCUAUUAGUAUGAAAAGCAUUCAAAUGUACGUACCAGUGGUGCAAUUAGUGUAAUAUGUCCACAUUCAUCUCUAAUAUUUUCUGGUUUGAGUGUUGUGUCUUCCCUCCAACAUUGUAUUAAGUUCUAACUUCCAAUAAUGCAGAAUGUGACCUCAUUUGGAGAUAGGAUCUUUAUAAAGGUAACUAAAUUAAAAUAUGGCUGUAUGAUCCCUAAUUCAUUUUAACUAAUGAUUUUGUAAGAAUAAGAAAUUUGGACCCAAGUGAGCACAGAAGAUCUGAAAAAAAGAUGAUCUGAAGACACGGGCAAGGACUGAUAUUUACACACCAAGGAUAGGGACAGAUCCUUCCUUCAGAAGGCCCAAGCUGCCAACAUCUCGAUUUUGGAUUUCUGACCUUGAAAAUGGCGAGAGAAUAAAUUUCUGCUGUUUCAAUCACCCUGUCUGUUGUACUGCUUUGUUAUAGUGGCUCUAGCAAGCUAAUACAAGUAACCAACUCAACAUCCAAUGUGUUGUAUUUUUCUCUGGUCUUUCCUGUUCCAGGCUAUGAGGCAAAUUCUAGAAUUUUAUCUUUUCCCUAGUAAAAGUUUUACUAUGCACCUGUAACCAGUUUCUUUUAAAAAUUUAAUGCAAUACCAUAAUUGCUUAAUAAUUGUAUUGUCCAGGGGUGGAUGCCCUUAAUUGUGGGGAGACAGCUCCGUGGUGACUCAGCCCAGCCAGGCUGGGUGCUGGACUCUUCUCAGGGUGUGGCUUCACUUCCCUUGGACACCAGACCUUGUGUGGCCAGAGCCCUCUGGUCAGCUCAUAUCAGUGCACUUGAACAGCAAGAACACCCAAAGGAUCCAUGAGUCACAUUUCAUAAGCUGGGAGAGGUGAAGGCAUGAAAAGGCCCAACAGACCUAGUCAGAAGCUAGCAGACAGAAGAUCUGUUACACAUGCAAUAACGGAAAGAACUGAAUCGAAUGAAUAAGAAGAACAAGUAAUAAACAUCUUAAGAGCUGCAUCUACUAAAUGACUCCUGGAGCCCCUUACUUUGCAUUCACAGUAGCGAAUUCUGACGUCAAUUCUGUGAAGCAAAGGCCGUGAGAUUACUCCCAUUUUGCAAACAGAAACAGAGCACUAAGGAUUUUUUUUGCCUAAGGUGUCAGAGCAGAAGUGGCUGGGACCAGGCUGGAUGUGAGGUGAGUGUGACCUAAACUAUGCUUUGAAGUAAUAAACAACAACAAUAACAAAAUAAACUAUGCUUUGAGUGCC
Long non-coding RNA from Octodon degus (degu), 1348 nucleotides. RefSeq lists it as uncharacterized. The record is from RefSeq and is a predicted model, not a curated record. The transcript has 3 exons. NCBI's taxonomy places the organism in Eukaryota, Metazoa, Chordata, Mammalia, Rodentia, Octodontidae.